AUGCGCGGAAUUCUGAUCGUGGCCGGUCUGGUCACUCUGGCCGCCGUCGCGGUGGUAGCCGAACCCCCAGCGACGCCAAAACCCGAGGAACAACCGGGCGGCCAUCUCGUGAGCCCCGAGGACCACCUGGCGGAGGAUGCAGGAGCACACGACGACACCCAUGCCGAUCAUGUGGAUGGAGAUGAACACACAGAUCAAGUCGAGGAUGAGGAAAACGUCUUUGCCUCUGUUGAGCUAGCGGCUACAAAUGCAGACCUUGCUAUCAAGCUCAUGAAACGAGCAUUGAGCGUGCUACUGGAGAGUAGUGCCAGUGCAAUGGAGCAUACUGAAGCACUACUGAAGAGUGGUGUUGUCAGCGUAAGCUCCGUUACCCAGGGUGCAGCGACUGCGGCAAAACAACUUGCGGUGACCCCUGAGCCAGUUGCCCAGAAACAAAAAGCUCCAGAACACAAACCACCACCACCACCACCACAGAGACAGAGGAGCGGUUGGUCGUGGUGGUAAAAACCACAUAUGACCACUAAAAAGAAGCUCUGGAAAAGUAUUAAAACUGCGGUGAUCAUUUGACUGUCCAGGCAUAAAAUCAUAAUGUCAUCAGUGGUAACUUGAACUGACAGAAACAGGAUAAAGAGGGCAUCUUUCAUGUAUUUUAUCUCUGUUAACAGUUAAAUUUUGUAACAGUGAAAAGGGAUAUUGAAUGUUAAAUAAAUUUUGAGGCAUACUAAUUACAAGAAUAUUUUAGUAUCAUUUUUUGUACUUAAUUUGUUUCAACCUAAACAACUAAUAAUAUUUAGUUUCGUGUGUAUUAUGUAUUUUAUUCAACGCUAUUUGAAAAUUGUAAAAAGGAAUUUUUGACCAUAGACCUCUCCUUUAAUGAACAAUUUUGGCUACACCACUAUAGAGAACUAUGAAGUUUUACUAAUUUUGAUGAUGUAAAGUGCAAACUCUCACAGUAUUUGGAAGAGACUAGAAGUUCUAAAAAAUUCAAAAUCAGUGUUUCCUUUUUUAAGCAAUCUGGUCCGAGGGAAAUAGGAGGUAAGUUUUAAGUCCCUUGAUUGGAAUAGCUUUUUUUCUCUUUUUUUUGUCUAAGAACAUUCCCGUGAGAGCAAUCUGUUUAGGGUCGCAGGGAGUGCCUGCAAAUUAGUGAAUGAAAAGGGACUCGAGGCAUCUUGUUGAAAAUUGUACUUAUUUUUCUUUUCUCAGAUAAAUAAAUGGACAUCAAAGUGAUUACAGAUACAGUCAAAUACACUUAAUAUAGAUUACAGCACUUUACAAAACUAAAAUAUCUUAGUAAAAAUCAACAGGUAUGCCACGUGCAUGCCAGAUGAGAGGUAUCUAGCAUGUUAAUGCGAUAAUAAAGUCUCUACUUUUGCUAAAACUUGCCUUAUUUGUGUUUUAAUUUCAAAACAACCUAAACAGUUGGAAAGAAGUUGGAAUACAUACUGCUGUUUAUUUAUUCGAAUUCUGGUUCACAACAUCCAUGAAAAUAUUUCAACUUGACUUUUUUUUUUCGACAAAAAUUUAACUACGCACAGGAUUUUUUUAGGAGAAAAAUAAAAGAGAAGAUGGAAAUUCUGCUCCUCACCAGGAAUAUACAUGACUGGAUGUCUGGAAAAUCUUUCAAUUUACGUAAUGUUAUUUAAUUUGCUCAGUUUGUAUGUUUGAAACACAAAUUUAUUCAUCUUCAAAGACAUCUAAAGAUUACCAACUGUUAGAAAAUUAAAAAGUUAACUUGAGUCUAAUUACACUUGAUCAAAUCAAUUUAAAUACAUAUUAACAAGCAGAGAAAAUGGUAAGUAUAAAGGGACCAUUUAUACAGAGGUGGGUUAUUGACUGCCAGUAUAAUGUUCACAUAUGGACAUCAAUAGGCAGGAACGACCCAUCUUAAUCAAAAAAUUAGAAGAACAUCAUACGUAUCUCAAUAGUGUCAUCUCUUAGAAAGUACAUGCAUCCUUAAAACUUUUGGUGCAUAUGGAUGUCUUCUCCUUCUUUCAUUUCUUCUUCUUUAUGUCUACUUAUUUUACUCAAAAACCAUUUGAACAAGAUCAGAAAAAUAGAUGAGGCUGGUACAAUUUUAAUUUUUCAAUAAAUCUAAGUUUCUAAGAAAUUUUAAAACCGCAAGAGGUGCUUGCAGCAUACAAAAUUUUCCAUUGUCGAUCCCCCUUUUUGAUGCACUUGGGAAUGCUAUGUUUCUGAAAAUUUUGUCCAUGAUCAAUACAAUUUUAAUAAUUGAAAAAAUUUGCGGUUUAAUGAUGAUGGUAGGAAACAAUGGCAGUUUUCUUAUUGCUUUGGACAGCAAAAGUAACUUUGAAAUAUAUUUUCUCUGACACAGUCAAGCAUGAAGAUUUAAUGAUCACAGAAUGCUUUUCAUAAAAUAACCCAUAAUUUUCUUCAAAGAGAUUCUCUCUGUCACUGGUUAAAAUUUCACCUAAGAACACUAAUUUGAGACAGAACAUCAGUAAAAAAACAGGACUUGCAUUUUAACUCACGCAGGUAGUUACGAUGAUAAUGGAUAGCCAAAAGCAUCUUUAUUCUCAUCUAGAAGAGCAGCAGACGAGUCGCAAAUUUUCAGAAGAAGCUCAUUCAAUUCUUGUUUGCCAUAUUCCUGAAAAGCAUUAAGAAAUUAGAUGAAUUCUAUUGCAUGUCUUACAGUUGAUUUUCAUGUUAUCAUUAUUUGAAAUAAAAAAAAAAGGUAACCUACAAUA
Molecule: long non-coding RNA, 2705 nt
Filed under: Bemisia tabaci
Lineage: Eukaryota; Metazoa; Arthropoda; Insecta; Hemiptera; Aleyrodidae
Description: lncRNA ENSSSA1UGG011776
Source: RNAcentral